CAAUCAUUUAAAGAUUUAUUACUAACAACUGGUGUGAACGUGUUUUAUCAGGAUAUGGAGCUCAGGCUGGUAAUUAUGGAGGACAAGCUGCAACUAAAAGCAACAGCUUUGGAGCUGAUGGUGGAAAACAACAAGUAGGAGGAAACCCUGCUGUUGUUCCCAAUGGGAACGGAGGCUAUGGAGUUAAAGCACCAAUAAAAGGUGGUGUAAAGCUUUAAUGUUUGAUAGAUGAUUUAAAUGUCAGGAUAUGGAGGACAAGCCACUAAAGGCAAUAAUGAUAGAUUUCAUACCAUGUUAUAAAACAGAUUAUUAUGCUUUGAAGAUGAUUGAUAACUACUAAUGUUGAUGUGUUUGUUAGGUUAUGGAGGUUCAGGUCCAAUUAAUGGAAACCAACCACAAGGCAAGUAUUUCACAAUUUAAUCAACUGUUUAUCUUUUAGCGUUUACAUAAU
This 451-nucleotide long non-coding RNA is filed under the name Gouania willdenowi (blunt-snouted clingfish). Its description in RNAcentral is "lncRNA (ENSGWIG00000023934.1)". Lineage: Eukaryota; Metazoa; Chordata; Actinopteri; Blenniiformes; Gobiesocidae. The record is from RNAcentral.